AAUAUUGCGCAAUGGGCGAAAGCCUGAAGCAGCGAAUCCGCGUGGGUGAUGAAGACCUUGGGGUAGUAAAACCCUGUCGGGAGGGAAGAAACUUGGGCGAUAUAAUUCGUAACAGACUUGACGGUACCUCCAAAGGAAGCACCGGCUAACUCCGUGCCAGCAGCCGCGGUAAUACGGAGGGUGCAAGCGUUAUUCGGAAUCACUGGGCGUAAAGCGCGUGUAGGCGGCCUCUUAAGUGUGGUGUGAAAGCCCGGGGCUCACCCCCGGAAGGGCAUUGGAUACUGGGAGUCUAGAGUUCGGGAGAGGGGGGGGGAAUUCGAGGUGUAGGGGUAAAAUGCGUAGAUAUCGGGAGGAACACCAGUGGCGAAGGCGGCCCUCUGGACGGCUACUGACGGUGAGACGGGAAAGCGUGGGGAGCAAACGGGAUUAGAUACCGAGGUAGUCCACGCCCUAAACGAUGGGCACUAGGUGUUCGGGGUAUUGACCCCCCGGGUGCCGCAGCUAACGCGUUAAGUGCUCCGCCU
This 524-nucleotide ribosomal RNA is filed under the name uncultured delta proteobacterium. RNAcentral's name for it is "bacterial SSU rRNA". It matches the Rfam family "Bacterial small subunit ribosomal RNA", at positions 360 to 874 of the family's 1533-position model. Lineage: Bacteria; Deltaproteobacteria. The record is from RNAcentral.